UUCCUAUUCCUAGUGUUAACGAUGUGAGCUUCAGCCUAUGUUCGAUUAACUGGUAGAAGAUUAACUUGCUUCAAUGGCUGUAAUGUAACAGCCUAUUUUUUAGUCAAAUCAGAACAGUGGUUUUGGGACCACAAAUUCGAGGUCAAAAUAUUUACUUUAUUAAUUUAUUAAUUUUACAGCAUGAUAGUAUGUAUUUGUGAAAU
This 203-nucleotide long non-coding RNA is filed under the name Gossypium barbadense (sea-island cotton). RNAcentral's name for it is "long non-coding RNA (GBAR_LNC011077)". The record is from RNAcentral. Lineage: Eukaryota; Viridiplantae; Streptophyta; Magnoliopsida; Malvales; Malvaceae.